Molecule: ribosomal RNA, 253 nt
Filed under: uncultured bacterium
Lineage: Bacteria
Description: partial 16S ribosomal RNA
Rfam family: Bacterial small subunit ribosomal RNA
Source: RNAcentral
UACGGGGGGGGCAAGCGUUGUUCGGAAUUACUGGGCGUAAAGGGCGUGUAGGCGGCCAACUAAGUCCGACGUGAAAUCCCCAGGCUCAACCUGGGAACUGCGUCUGAUACUGGAUGGCUUGAAUCCGGGAGAGGGAUGCAGAAUUCCAGGUGUAGCGGUGAAAUGCGUAGAUAUCUGGAGGAACACCGGUGGCGAAGGCGGCAUCCUGGACCGGCAUUGACGCUGAGGCGCGAAAGCUAGGGGAGCAAACGGG